RNAcentral lists this long non-coding RNA (1027 nucleotides) under Anser cygnoides (Swan goose). RNAcentral's name for it is "lncRNA (ENSACDG00005009927.1)". The record is from RNAcentral. Lineage: Eukaryota; Metazoa; Chordata; Aves; Anseriformes; Anatidae.
UUCACUGGAAGCCUAUUUAGGGAUCAGACUUGGAGCUUUAAUUACAAAUACCUUUAUUAUUAUUUUUUUUUAUUUUCCCCCAUUUCUGAAGCUUUAACUCAAUGAAUAAGGAACACUGCUCUUCACCUUUUCCACAGUGAAGAGAGAGUUACUCAGAAUGAAGCCCUGACCCGCCUGUAAGGCAUCUCAGUGCUUCCUCCAUUUGCAUGAGUGUAGCAUCUCUGUGACUUGUUUAGUUUUGUCCUCGGAAUCCAUCUCUUCCCUCUCAGUUUUCUGGACUAGAUACAACUGGAAUUAUUGGUGUGGCUUCCCUAUAAGCAGGUAUGGUUGGAAAUCUUAUACCAGGGAGCUAAUUAGAAUCAUUUGAAGUGUGUUCAAGCCAGCCAAGUAUUUCAGCUCUUCUGAGUCACAGCAAGAUUUGUUUUCGAAGAUUUAUCACUAAAUGGGUAUUAACUGCUCUUUGUGCCGCCAAAGCUUGGUCACUUGAUGGGCUUAAUAGUCUGCUGGAAAGAGCUGGGUGUCUUUCCAAGACUCUGCCCAUCAGAUAAAUGUAUUUGUCCAUUUAUGUCCUUUUCCCAAGUUUGAGUAAUAACAUGGAAAUGCAAAGAGGGACUGCUGGACGCUGGGUCACGUAAUACCUUUCUAUAAAGGGAUAUUUCAUUCAGCACUGGAAAGCAAUUUAUCUUCAAAAAUUAUGUUCAGGUGUCAUUUGGUACAUGUUUGGGAUGAUUUAGUCUUACCGCUUCCAUAAGUACUCACUAGUAUAGUCUGAAGCUCUACUACUUGGCAACAGUAGCUGCAGCUUGCCUUGGUUUGCAGAUUUCUUCACUCUUCCCUUCUGCUAUCAUCUCACAUCACUUUUUUUCAAAGUCUUCUUAGAUAAGCUAUCAGCAAGUUCCAGGGCCAUAUAGGAAACAUGACAGGCUUGCAAAUUAUGUCUUAUCUUGUGUAGAUGUACUCUUGUGACACCACAGAGUACACAGGAUAAGACCUUUCUGUGUACCUUAGAGACCAGCAGUUUCUGCUG